This 460-nucleotide ribosomal RNA is filed under the name uncultured bacterium. RNAcentral's name for it is "partial 16S ribosomal RNA". It matches the Rfam family "Bacterial small subunit ribosomal RNA", at positions 338 to 795 of the family's 1533-position model. The record is from RNAcentral.
CCUACGGGAGGCAGCAGUGAGGACUAUUGGUCAAUGGCCGGAAGGCUGAACCAGCCAUGCCGCGUGAAGGUCAGUGCCCUAUGGGCGUUAAACUUCUUUUGUGCGGGAGCAAUAAUGGUCACGUGUGGCCAGACGAGAGUACCGUACGAAUAAGCAUCGGCUAACUCCGUGCAAGCAGCCGCGGUAAUACGGGGGAUGCAAGCGUUAUGCGGAUUUAUUGGGUUUAACGGGUGCGUAUGCUGUGAGGUAAGUCAGCGGUGAAAUGCCCCCGCUCAACGGGGUGAAGUGCCAUUGAUACUGCCUUGCUGGAAUGCGGAUGCCGUGGGAGGAAUGUGUGGUGUAGCGGUGAAAUGCAUAGAUAUCACACAGAACACCGAUUGCGAAGGCAUCUCACGAAUCCGCGAUUGACGCUGAUGCACGAAAGCGUGGGUAUCAAACAGGAUCAGAUACCCUAGUAGUC